RNAcentral lists this ribosomal RNA (261 nucleotides) under uncultured prokaryote. RNAcentral's name for it is "partial 16S ribosomal RNA". It matches the Rfam family "Bacterial small subunit ribosomal RNA", at positions 524 to 784 of the family's 1533-position model. The record is from RNAcentral.
UACGGAGGAUGCAAGCGUUAUCCGGAUUUAUUGGGUUUAAAGGGUGCGCAGGUUGUUUGAUAAGUCAGUGGUGAAAGUCUGUCGCUUAACGGUAGGAUUGCCAUUGAUACUGUUAGACUUGAAUAUGGAUGAGGUAGGCGGAAUGUGUAGUGUAGCGGUGGAAUGCGCAGAGAUCAGGAGGAAUACCGAAGGCGAAGGCAGUCUUCCAAGCCGUUAUUGACGCUCAACUGCGAAGGUGUGGGUAUCAAACAGGAUUAGAUA